Long non-coding RNA from Etheostoma cragini (Arkansas darter), 1093 nucleotides. RefSeq lists it as uncharacterized. Lineage: Eukaryota; Metazoa; Chordata; Actinopteri; Perciformes; Percidae. The transcript is spliced from 2 exons. The record is from RefSeq and is a predicted model, not a curated record.
CCGAUCAUACAGCGGAAGAAGAAACGCCUCACUGUCAUCAUCAUCAUCAUCAUCAUCAUCAUCACCACCACCACCACCACCAACAGCAUCCUCCACCGCUAUGAUGCUCCAUCUCAUCCCACAAGCUCUAAUCAUGUGUUUCAGUGUGCUAGUUGAGGGACAACCCGAGGACUUCAAACUGACCGAGAGAGCUUAUGUUGUUCUACAGAAACAGAAUUUAGUCACAAUGGGGACGGUUCUCGCAGUCCUGCUGGUGCUAAUGAUCAUCAUGGCAGUCUGUGUCUACAAACCGCUGUCUCGUCGCUGAAACUGGCCCGAAACCUGCAGGAGAAAAGGACCGAGACAGAGCCUGUGUCCACCGGGAGCACCGAGGAGCUGCAGCCCCGGGGCCUCGGCCGGCUCCGGACUGGAGGGACCAGACUCGGGGGAUGAACCGAGCUCUGCCACCACAGCUACCAUCCACCCAGACUGCACAAUUCACUAAGCCUUUAAUCAUAUACAAGUUACUGGAUGUUUGGACGCAUCAGACGAUCACACAUAUUUUGAUUUUCUGUAAUUCCUUUCUUAAAUUUACAUCUGUAAACAGUGGGGAACAUGAUCGAUAUAAUGAUUUGUCUAAUUUACCUCUCAAUAAUCUGGGCUAUUACAUCUAUUAUUACUAUUUAACUAUUAAUUAACUUCUACUAUUUAAAUGUAUCACGUUUUCUUUGUAUUUAAUUAUUUGAACUUUGCACCUGAAGGAAAUGCUGUAUUUGUAUUUUCUUAUUAAAAAACAAAACGUGGUCUAUAAAUUGUAGUUCUGCAACCAUUAAAUUCCUUUAAGUGGGAUUAUUAUGUGAAAGAAUUGGCACUGUUUAGAUGUAAAUCAAACAGUUUAACAGUUUCUUUUCUCUAAAUGUGGAAAUCUAUUCUUCAGUUUUCUGAAAUUAGCUGUAAACCUAUUUGUUUUAUUUAUUUAGUGGAUUGCUUGAAACAUACUGACUUUAAAUCAAAAAGUUGUAGAUAGUUUUACUAUGUUUACAUUUAGGGCCAGGUUGUUGUUUUAGAAAAUGAGAAGGCUUCUGUGCAGAUUAAAUCCAGUGACACCAAGAAA